RNAcentral lists this long non-coding RNA (8912 nucleotides) under Vigna radiata. Its description in RNAcentral is "long non-coding RNA (VRAD_LNC017993)". The record is from RNAcentral. Lineage: Eukaryota; Viridiplantae; Streptophyta; Magnoliopsida; Fabales; Fabaceae.
UUUUAUUCUUUUGUAAUGAAACAAAAAACUCGACUUUUAACAAAGAAACCUUUUAUAGAAACCUUGAAGACAAUAGACUGUAAAUAUCGUAUAAUUAAAUUGAUGUUUCCACAGUAGACUGAUGAAACAUUUUCAGUUAAAGUUAGAUUCACCUUGCCAAUCUGUAAUAAAAGCUUGUAUAACAAAUUUGAAUCAGUGGCCAAGUGUUAUCGAAUUUAACUUGUAAAUGGGUUGUUCGAGCCUACCAAAUUUUUAAAUUAGAUUAUUUCAAGAACUGCUAUGUUAAACAUUUGCUGCAGUGCGAUAUCUGUACAUUUACUGUACCCACCAAUUUACAAAAGAAUAAUAUAUAUUACUGUGGUCACAAAUAAUAUAUAUUCUUAUAUAAUAAUACUAGUUAAAUUGGUUUGUGGUUUAAGCACUGAUCUACUUAAAUAACUAGUAACUCAUCAAUCAACCAGUAUAUGGACUGAAUCAAUUACCAAUUUUUUGGAACAUUGAUGUAUAUCAACGCAAGUGCCUCUGAAAUCAUUCUGCUAAUGAAAAUUUACAGAGAAAUAGGUUUACUUAAAAGGUUGGUUAUACUAAAUGUGUGUUUGGAGACACUGAUAUAUUAGAUUGUUAUAGCAUAGAUUUCUCUGGUGUUCUAAUUUUUCCAGAGCAAAAAAAAAAAAAUUGAGGAGAUUUAAAGUAUAAAGUUGAAUAUAUAUCUACAUAGCAUGCCCCAAGUUUCUCAAGAUGUAUUGUACAACUGCUAAACAAUGGUGAAUAUGUGAGAGAUAAUUUAAGGCAUACCACAAUGACAUUCUUCUCUAAAAGAAAACAUGUACAUGACCCUAAGCUGAGAGGCACUUCCUGUACAGGGAUUACGUGUUCAAUAUUUUCUUUGGCUUGAGAUGGAAGAAAUUAACCAGUACUGCUUCUAUAAGUUUGAUAAAUUUCAUCCACUUGCUCUGCUGGCACAUAAAUUGCAUCUUUUAGAAAGCUAUGAGUUCGGCCAUAAAAGACAUAAACUAGUAGUCCUGUUCCCAUCCAUAUAGAAACACGCAACCAUGUACCAUAUCUGAAACAAAGAUGAGUAAGAAUUAGAAAAUGCAAUUCCAUUAACAAAGUUUCAACAUUGAACUGCUGAUUCUGCAAAAUACUAUGAAUAUAUCUCAGUUUUAUCCAUUUGACUCUUCUCUGUUAUUUAGAAUGUUGGUUGAAUUAGACAGUUUAUUCUACAGCACGGACAUUCAAUUUUACAAACCAGAGAAACAAAUAUGAAAAGAAAAAUAUCGUGAACAUUUUCAGGGAAUGUAGUUCUUGAAUUGAAUUAAUAUUUUCAUUAUUCUAUUAUCAACCAAAGUUUUAAAAAAUGGUCCACGGUUAUAAUUUCGGUCACAUUUCUUCUAAAUUUCCUGCAAUAUCAAGUAUCCCCAUUAAACUAUGACCAGAACCAAAUGAGCAACUUGUUAUAAACAAUAAAUAUGAACCAGUGAGAAAGGAUAGUUCAGUAAGAGAAACCGAACAGGAGCUUUUCCAAUUAACAUCACACAAAAAAUAUCAGUUUUUAUUCAAUUAAAGUUCCUGCCAUUCUUACUAUUUACUAGAAUGAAGGUGAAAUUAUGUUUGUUAAAGCAGGCAGAGGAGAAAGAGAAUACUAGAUGUAUUCUGAUAUUAACUUCAUUAAAUAACAAUAAAAUUCUAAAAGUUAUUAGUCUUGAAAUCAAAAUACUUCCAUCAAUUUCAAGAUUUCCACACACAGCCUGAUGUAAAAGAAUACAUUUGAAAAGCGAGUUUGGUCAAACAAAAAGUAUAACAAAUUAAGUAUUAAUGCUUACCCAAGAUUAACAAGUAAGUAGGAAUUUAUGAGAAUGCAAGCUAUCGGAAGCAGUGGCACAAAUGGGCAAAUAAAACCUGAAAAAGAAUAAUGAUUGAAUUAUCUCUCUUAAGCUGAAUAGAAUUAAUGGUCAGCCUAUUUUUUACUGUUUGUUAUAAUUAUAUGCAACUCUUGUUCAAUAUACUCCAUGUGUGUGACACUAGAAGAUAUGCACCUCUGCAUUUGAAUGGAAUAAGACAACCAACACUACUCAUGAAUUUAUGUAACACAAGGAUAUUGUGGUAAGAUAUACCUCCAGUGUGCCCAAAGUCAUGUCUUGCGUCAUCUUGAUCUAUUCUGAUUAGGAAAACAAAACCACACAAAAGAAUAGCAGCUCCAACUCCACACAAUGCAAAGCGAACAGAACUGGCAAUAGCAUACAAAAAUGCUCAAAAAACUGGGAACCUCAUGCAAUCCUUAAAUGACACGAAAAACAACAGAUAAAGUGCAUAAAUUUAUUGAAGAGAUUAUCCUGUAACAGUAUUAUCAAACCUCUUCAAUUCUCAGGAUAAGGCCUAGUCCCUAAUAGCCCAUUUCCUUUCAUCUCAAACCAACCACCAAACUAUUUAGGGAACCUGAAUCCUUGAUUAGGUAUUGAGAAAUUUCCAUUGCAUGUGAAGCUUGAGAAAGGCUACAUAAUCUGCAAGUAGACUAACCUAGGAAGAGUGAAAUCUGAAGCUGCAUAUGUAAGGACAAACGCCCCUAAGAAGAUCAGUGAUAUGAUCCACCCAACAACUUUUCGCCUUUCAGCUUCAACUAUAUCUGUACCCAAAAUAAAUAAAUAAAUAAAUGCAUGAAGGAGAAAAUCAACAUAUGCCAAAUGACAGGAUUAUAACAAAUGAACCAAUGUUAGUUUCUUGAGCGACAUAGACUAUAUAUAAUGAACACUAAAUUGUAUUAUCCAUUAAAAAUAUUGGUAAAGGAGAAGGAAAGUGAUAACUCACGGUUUCCUCCAGAAAAAUGUUUGGUAAAAUCAACUGAAACAUCCUCCUUAACGAUCAAAGGCUUUGUGUGCUCAGAAGUAUUAGCAUCUACGUCUCCCACAUUUGUAUCUGAACUGCUCAAACUAUACCGCUUCAACACUGAAGCAAUUGAAUCCUUGAGAGAUGGAGGCAGCGGGACUUCAUUUGGAGGGACAUAUCUUAGGAUCAACACAGACAUUGCCACCAUGGUAAAUGCUAAAAGUGUACCCACACUAACCUGCAGGAGAAAAGUUAUAUACAUAUUAGUACAAAUAUCGACAUAUACAUAUUAGAACUACCUUAGGAAUACUUGAUGUCAACAGAGUAUGGAAUCAAAAAAGCGAAAAAAUAUUCUAGCCAUAUUGGAAAAAUAACCGACAUUCACGUCAACUAGAAAUAAUGUUAGAUACAAUAUGUAAGUAAAGCCACUUAUAAUUUUAUAAAUCGGUUUUGUAAGAUUAAAUUAGGUCAAAGAUACUUUGCAAGAUGAUAUUAGAACUGACCCUCAUAAGGGAUCACUCACCAUUAUAUACACUUACUAUGACCAGAGUUGGACAUAUGAGGGGCAAUCCUGUCACAAAUUUUGUUGGUUAAGUUAGGUCUAAACUACUUUGUAAGAUGGUAUUCCAACCUAUGCCAGAUCUACUAAAAGGGUUACUCACCACCAUGUUAUAAACCAAGCCCAAUUGUGGGGCAAUCCUAUUGGACUAGACUGAUAUAAAAACUCGUCAUUUAACUUCUCCAAAGCAAGGUAUAAGUUGAUUUUAGCUUUUGGAGAAAAAAUAUUUCUCCUUCCUGUGAGUGUAAGGAAAAAUCUAUGUGAACUGAACCAAAGUAAAUUUAGUUACCGUACUAUUCAAGGAGAGUGAACUAAUAAUGGUGUUGGUAAAGAGUGUUAUUAGAGGAAUGUUAGUUGCUAUAACGCACUAUUUCAUUUAGCAACGAAACUUGUAUCCACUGAAUCUAAAAAUUGUAGCAACCAAGUUCCAGACUUACCAUCCCUGCCAAUUCAGAGACUUCCAUAGAAAAUGCCAAGCCUGCAGCCACAAUGCCAGUAACUAUUGUGCCCUUAACAGGAACCUGAGUCUUCUUAUUUAUAUCAGCACAAAAAGGUGGCAGCAAUCCAUCUCUUGCCAUAGACAUCAAAAUUCGUGGCUGAGAAACAUUUAACAAAACACAAUGGUAACUUUGCCUGUUAACUCAAUACUUCAGAAAAAAAAAGGGGGGGACAAAGUUUGUGAUAACUGCUGGUACAAGCAAUCAUAGAAUGAAGCACGAAAGAAACGCAGCAUAUAUUUGAAUAUGAUGAUUCGAAUGAAAUUCAGUACACUGCACCUUGGUCUUCUAGUUCAUUACAUAAUUCUCUUAAGAAUCAAGCUUAGUGGUUAAAAAAUAUCAAUAAAAUUAAACUUUUAAUGAAAAUCACAGUGAGGGUGCCUUGGAAAUAAUAUCAGAAAUUGAGACGUUUCUGUUUGCUCAGUCUUUUCAGGUUGAAUUUAAUUAUAAACCUUGUCUUGUGGAAAAGUUAGGUGUUUGGUCAGUGGUUAAGUAAAAAUGAGUGGUAGCAUAUUUACAUCUCUCUUGCAUGUAUUAAACCUUUUGUAAAAUAUAACCCACUGCACUAAACAGAUUUGAUAUCAUUGCUUUUCUCCCUUCUUCCAUCGUAUAUCUUCACAAGAAAAACCCUAUUCUCAGUUUCUUUCUGGAUUUACAACCUUUACAGUUUUUCUGAUUUAAUAACAAAAAUAGUGAGUUGCAUUGAUACAUUUUGCAUGAAAACUUUCCACUUUUGGUUUCUUAACCAGUAUUCCAAGGGAAUUUAUUAACAUUCUCUUUGAAAUAAUUAAGUCACAUAAAUCCCAAAUUAAGACCCACAAGUACUAAUACGUACAAAUACCCUUUUAUCUCUCAAACUAAAACAGCUCAUAAACAAAAAGGUGUGUCAAUUUGUCUUGUUAGGUACAUCCUUAAUAUGAGAAUAUAGAGUUUGCCGUGUGUUCAAUACAAAACUUACACAUCCCCAGAAUAACGAAGAUUUAUAUUUACCCAUAAAAGUGAUACUUUAAAGUACUUCAAUAGUUUAUAAUUUUAACCAUACAUUAAAAAAAAUACAGGAGAACAACUUUGGCCUAAUAAAGAGUAAGCACAUAUGAAAUAUAUUAAAUUCACAGCAGAAAAAUAAGAGAAUAAACAAUUACAGAGGUGACAAACCCACCUGGGUUUAGAUUAACUUACCUGGGGAAGUAUCCCACCCAACAAUGCUGAACAGAGAGCUGUGCAAGCACCAGCAUUUAUAAUGUAACUGCAAUCACAAACAAGAAAUUUGUCUAUGGUGACAUAACAUCUACAUAGAUUAAGAAACUAAAAUUUGAUGAAGAAUCAGAUGCAAAAUUGUAAUGUCUAAACUUACGCUGCCCAUUCCAUUCCUUGUUCAGCAAAUGCAGAAGAUAUUGGUGUAUCCGGUUCAAUUGCAUAAUAAGGUACUAAACCAACUACAACAAGGGACACCAUCAUAUAUAUCCCACAGCAAAGAAACAAUGCACCUGCAAUACCUAGGGGUAAAUCUCGUUGAGGAUUUUUCACCUGUUUCAUCAAGUGAAACAUUAUCAGCAAGUUCGAACAAUUGAGCAUCCUCAAGCAUGCAUAUAUGUUUGGUGUAAAUUAUUUUGGAGAAAUAAUUGCCUCUUUUUGGGUAAAUACUUUUUGUUUCUGGUGAACUCAAGCUAUCCCAGUUGGGAGCCAAGGAUUAAUCUUCCGAAAUAUUGAGAUUCAUAUAUGAAGUUCAUAUCAGACAAAUGCUUUUCUAUACAUACGGAGCUCUCAGGACUAAACUUCUGAUCACAUAAUCAAAGAACAAAAUUAUCUGUCAAUAACAUACUAGGUUUGAAACCUAGUUAAAUUUUUAUCUCUCAAAAUGCUUUUAGUUUCUAAAUAAAAUUAUUUGGUUGUAGUUCUUAAAUGUAACAGAAACAUUAGUAUUUUCCCUACAGACAAAAUAUAUAUGUUGAGACCAAAAUUAUCUUUUUGUUAUUAAGAAAAUUGAGCUGACAAAAUAAUAUAAACUGAACCAAUAAACUGACACUAUCAUUAUUACCUCUUCAGCAGUGCUGGCAACUGCAUCAAAGCCUAUGUAUGCAAAGAAUACUGUGGCAGAACCAGCUAGUAUCCCAUUAAAACCAAAGGGAAAAAGUCUGUGAAAGCAAAAGAGACAAGCCUUAGGUAAUUAGAGACCAAACAUAUAACAUAGGAGAAGUGCAAAAGCAAAAAUUUAAAGUACCAAUCAGGAGUUUUGUCAAAUGAAACAGUACCCCAUAGGAAGAUCAUAUCCAAGCCAACCAGACUUGAAUCCCAUGUAACCACCAGCUACUAUGACAAAAAGCAAUGCACAUAUAUUCACUGCUGUCACUAUUCCUUGUACCACUGUACUCUGCAUGUAUUAAGCACUCUAAAUUUUUGGAUAUUUUAGCUUAGAAAACAAAUAAAGAACAGUGACAGGGUGAAUAUGUUCAUUGUGCAAAGCUCACGGUUCACAUACAAAGGAUCCAUGCAGUAUCUUAAACGAACAGAAAGAAAACAAUAUCACUCAUAUAUACAAAGAAGAAAUAUUAGUAUACGAACUCCUAUAUUACAUCAAUUUUUCAAAUAAUACUUUGUAAUAAAACAUUUUAUACUUUGUAAAUUUCUGUAUUUUCAGUAACUUUAUUUUACAAAAUGUCUACUCGUGUAAAGAUUUAUAAAUAAGCCUUUGUUAGCUGAUCAUUACUAAAAUUUGGUUAGUUUUUACUUUUUAUAAUCACAAUAGCCUAUACUGAAGGACUUAGGUAGAUCAUGUAAAUUUAAUUCCUAGAUAAAAGUAGAUAAAAGUAAGAAAAUUGAAUAGGUCAUUGUGAUUUAGUAAAAGCUUGUAAUAAUAGAAAAUUACCUCCUUGAUGCCCAGACACAAGAGUCCUGUAACAAGUAAUACCAAGAUUGCUGCACAUGGGUCUACAACUAUAUCCAUUCCAGAAAUAUGGUACCGCGAUAUGAACACUGGUAAAUUCUCCUUACCAAAAAGUGCAGUCUAAUCACACAUUUCAUUCAUGUCAGUGUUUGAAAUCACCUUUUCUUGCAAUUGGUUAAGCUAAAAGCAAGCAAAACAUUCUAUACAAAUUCUCAAAUUCAUAAACCUGACAACCAAAAAACUGAACUAACAACGCACCAAAUUGGGGGUUACGCCACGAGCAACAGCAGCACUGCCAAUUGUAUAUUCCAAAAUCAAGGACCAACCAAUCAACCAAGCAACACUGAAAGUAAAAGUAACCAUCAUUACUAUGAAUGUGAGAAGAAAAGAAACCGCCAAAUAAGGCUGCUAACACUGAAUGAUGCAAUUAGACAAUGGAAAAGAAAAACAAGAAUGAUACUUAAAGGACAUAGAUGUUAUAUAAAUUGGUAUACAACGUUAAAACAUAAAAAAGAGUACCCUUCUCCAAUACAUAUGUAUGAAUAGUGAUAUGCACUCCCUGCAGAAGGGCAUCUACUAGCCAACUCUGCAUAACAAAAGGCAGAAAGACCAGCUGCUAAUCCAGCAAUCAGAAAAGAAAUGGCCAAAGCAGGUCCAGCAUGCUCCCGUGCAACUGUUCCCACCAGAACAUACACUCCAGCACCAAUUGUUGAACCAACACCUGAUCAUCAUAUACCAAUGUCAAACUCAAUUGCAAAACAAUUAAUGUGUGUUCAUUAGAAGCUAAAAAAUUAGGAAAAUAAACACACUAAUAUGUCUUAGGAAUCUUGGUGUCAGUUUGAAUCCCAAAGUGAGAAAAUUGAGCAAUAUAAGAAAAUGAAAGACUUCAAUUUUUUGUUUUGAAAUUGGUGCUGUAAUUUCUUUUAUAAAUUGGUUUAUAAUGAAAGUAACUUUAAUCAUAACUGUAGUAAAUAUAAUAUCACAGAGGAAUUUUCUUUGACUUUGGAAGACUGUGAAAACACAAUCAUGACAAAAAUAUAAAAUAAAAAAGGGAAGGAAUAUGUCGUUCUGCCAAUAAGAAAAGAGGAAAUCCGACAAAUGUACCAAUCAAGCGGUCAAACAUGAAGACAAACCAAACAUUUUUCCACAUCACCCGAAAAUUGUAACAAUUCCAGGAACGUAUCCCAGAUGAAAACAUGAUUAAAGAUGAGAUUUUUAAUUAAAAAAGAAGAAGAAGAAGAAGAAGAAGAAGAAGAAGGAGAGGAAAGGAAUUGAAUUAAUCACCAAUAGCAAUGAGAUGAGGAACAGUUAACUCCCUGGCAAGAGAAGGCUGAGAGUAAUUCCUACUUUGAGAAUCAACCUGCUUCCUCCUAGUUAAAAACUUGAAGGAACCCCCUGAACCAUUUUGUGAUUGUGAACCAAUUGAAACACCCAUCAAAGAAAAAAAAAAACACACACACACACAGACACGAAUAUUUGCUAGCUCAACCACAAAGCCAAGUCUCCCUUAAUGAAAAACAAAAUCAACUUUGUCCCAAGAUCAAAGUGCACAACACAAAGGUGGUGGUGGUGUGGCCAAAAUUAACUAAUGUCGUAUAAUUCUCCUUGCUCUGUUGAUGGGGUUGUUGUCGUUAUGGAUAAAAGUGGCAAAAUAAGAAUCUGAAAUCGAAAUUGUUUGCGUCUUUCCUUGCUUGAUGGUGGUGACCAAUGCUGACAGAUUGACAAAAACGAAUGAAAGGGUAAAGGAAUGCUUAACGCCAAAUGGUAACGCUAUAAAAGGUAUCAUUGAGAAAGUAGGGGCAAUUAUAUAUAGUAAUUGUUUGCGUCUUUCCUUGCAUGUCAGCUAUCUUAUGUUUAUAGUUAACUCAAAACGUAUGGAUAUGUUUAAAAAAUAUAUGGGAGUCUGUCAGACAACCCUGCGACCAUCCCAAUUCGCUAGAACGGGAACGAUCCUCUACAGGAGGUGAUGAACACAGUCCGUAAACUGAGUCAACACUACCGUUAAUCACGCUCUGAUCACAGGGUCAUGGUUCAUCCACCAGACUUCAGUUCCUGUCUCCUUAGAACUUAAGGAUACAGAGGUACGAGCCUAUAGAACAGAUCCUGUUCAAGUAAGGUCGUGGCCAGAGCUAUCUGAUUCGCGUUUAUA